UACGGAGGGUGCAAGCGUUAUCCGGAAUCAUUGGGUUUAAAGGGUCCGCAGGCGGACAUAUAAGUCAGUGGUGAAAGCCCAUCGCUUAACGAUGGAACUGCCAUUGAUACUGUAUGUCUUGAAUUCGGUCGAAGUGGGCGGAAUAUGUCAUGUAGCGGUGAAAUGCUUAGAUAUGACAUAGAACACCGAUAGCGAAGGCAGCUCACUAGGCCUGGAUUGACGCUCAGGGACGAAAGCGUGGGGAGCAAAC
Molecule: ribosomal RNA, 250 nt
Filed under: uncultured bacterium
Lineage: Bacteria
Description: partial 16S ribosomal RNA
Rfam family: Bacterial small subunit ribosomal RNA
Source: RNAcentral